Xiphophorus maculatus (southern platyfish) is the source of this 419-nucleotide long non-coding RNA. RefSeq lists it as uncharacterized. Lineage: Eukaryota; Metazoa; Chordata; Actinopteri; Cyprinodontiformes; Poeciliidae. The transcript is spliced from 4 exons. The record is from RefSeq and is a predicted model, not a curated record.
UUCAUAUUUUGAUGGAACAUGUCUCAAUGUUUCCUCUGUUGAUUCUCUGUUGUUUAAAAUAAUAAUAAACAAUUUGAACCAAUAUCAUUUUUACUCUGUAGAAGUCUUUCAACCAAAAAUGGAGAAAAUAAACCUAAAAGCGGGUAAUUAUUUGACCGAUAUUAGGAAAUAUGUUUGAUUGAAUAAUUUCAAAAGUGUAAAAUCAGAUAAACAGUUUGGAGAGUUUUAGAAUAUUUGGCUAGAAAUUAAUGUAACAUGUUGUGAACAGGCCUGCUGAGACAGAGGAAGCAGAAAAUAAACAUCAGGAAGAGAAACAUGUUCAGGAAGACAAGAGUAAAGAAGAAACUGAAAGCAGUAAAGCUGACAUGAAGGAAGAAACCAACAAACAGCAAAGCGAUCAAAGUCUUUCAACCAACAAU